This 497-nucleotide ribosomal RNA is filed under the name uncultured bacterium. RNAcentral describes it as "partial 16S ribosomal RNA". It matches the Rfam family "Bacterial small subunit ribosomal RNA", at positions 28 to 507 of the family's 1533-position model. The record is from RNAcentral.
GAUGAACGCUGGCGGCGUGCCUAAUACAUGCAAGUCGAGCGAACAGACGAGGAGCUUGCUCCUCCGACGUUAGCGGCGGACGGGGGAGUAACACGUGGAUAACCUACCUAUAAGACUGGGAUAACUUCGGGAAACCGGAGCUAAUACCGGAUAAUAUAUUGAACCGCAUGGUUAAAUAGUGAAAGACGGUUUUGCUGUCACUUAUAGAUGGAUCCGCGCCGCAUUAGCUAGUUGGUAAGGUAACGGCUUACCAAGGCAACGAUGCGUAGCCGACCUGAGAGGGUGAUCGGCCACACUGGAACUGAGACACGGUCCAGACUCCUACGGGAGGCAGCAGUAGGGAAUCUUCCGCAAUGGGCGAAAGCUUGACGGAGCAACGCCGCGUGAGUGAUGAAGGUCUUCGGAUCGUAAAACUCUGUUAUUAGGGAAGAACAAAUGUGUAAGUAACUAUGCACGUCUUGACGGUACCUAAUCAGAAAGCCACGGCUAACUACGUG